UACGACGACGGUAUCAACGACAACCGAGUAUGUGACUCCAACAUGCACUGGCGAUGGUGAUAGUUUCCCUUACCCAGGCGACUGCACACAGUUUUACUCUUGCGUGAAGGGCGAGCUGAUACUGUAUACCUGUACCGGAUCGCUGGUUUACAGCCCUACUCUUGGGUACUGCACACUGCUGGAAAAUGUACCCGAGUGCAACUGAGUUCCUUCCUUUGAUAUCUGUCCACUCCACGACCCAAAUCCUCGAACGACUUUCCAUAAGAUUGUUUUAUUAUGUAUCUUGAAUAAAGCAUGUUACAAAAUUCCAACAAAGGUGGUUCAUUCUA
Molecule: long non-coding RNA, 329 nt
Filed under: Penaeus monodon (black tiger shrimp)
Lineage: Eukaryota; Metazoa; Arthropoda; Malacostraca; Decapoda; Penaeidae
Description: uncharacterized LOC119582166
Source: RNAcentral